AGAACCGCCAAGCCAGAGCUCAAGUACAUGAACUGAGGACAACCAAAGGCACCCUCACGCAAUUCCCAGAGGAAAUAGCAGAAGAAUUCCGAAAAUAUUAUCAAACUCUGUACAACAUAGACCCCUCGACAUCAGGUGACCGCCAAGACGACAGAAUAGUAGCCACAACACAGUACCUCCAAAACUUUAGACCCGAAGCGCUUUCCUUAGAAGAGGCAAACGCGAUAGAAACACCGAUAACAACGGAAGAAAUACAAGCGGCGAUCAAACAAGCAAAAACCGGGAAGGCCCCGGGCCCAGACGGCCUACCGGCAGGCUAUUACAAAAAAUUCGGCGAAUUACUAGCCCCAUACCUGACAGGAGCGCUGAACCGACUGCAGCAGGGAGACAAGUUCCGACAGGAAACUCUAGCAGCAACAAUAACAGUAAUACCAAAACCGGGAAAAAACCCUGAAAUCUGCGG
This is a non-coding RNA of Pelobates cultripes (western spadefoot toad), 463 nucleotides long. NCBI's taxonomy places the organism in Eukaryota, Metazoa, Chordata, Amphibia, Anura, Pelobatidae. The record is from the annotation of a GenBank genome assembly.